This 434-nucleotide ribosomal RNA is filed under the name uncultured bacterium. RNAcentral's name for it is "partial 16S ribosomal RNA". It matches the Rfam family "Bacterial small subunit ribosomal RNA", at positions 29 to 507 of the family's 1533-position model. The record is from RNAcentral.
AGCGAGCGCUGGCGGCAGGCCUAACACAUGCAAGUCGAACGAACCUUUCGGGGUUAGUGGCGGACGGGUGAGUAACACGUGGGAACGUGCCUUUAGGUUCGGAAUAACUCAGGGAAACUUGUGCUAAUACCGAAUGUGCCCUUCGGGGGAAAGAUUUAUCGCCUUUAGAGCGGCCCGCGUCUGAUUAGCUAGUUGGUUGAGGUAAUGGCUCACCAAGGCGACGAUCAGUAGCUGGUCUGAGAGGAUGAUCAGCCACAUUGGGACUGAGACACGGCCCAAACUCCUACGGGAGGCAGCAGUGGGGAAUCUUGCGCAAUGGGCGAAAGCCUGACGCAGCCAUGCCGCGUGAAUGAUGAAGGUCGUAGGAUUGUAAAAUUCUUUCACCGGGGACGAUAAUGACGGUACCCGGAGAAGAAGCCCCGGCUAACUUCGUG